AAUGGGGAUAGGUAUCAUCUCUCAAACCCCGCCAGGACCGAAAGGUAGCAACGGUAAGAGUGCUCUGGUACGCUAUCCCCUUUCUU
This 86-nucleotide signal recognition particle RNA is filed under the name candidate division TA06 bacterium. RNAcentral describes it as "signal recognition particle sRNA small type". It matches the Rfam family "Bacterial small signal recognition particle RNA". From Rfam's summary of the family: The signal recognition particle (SRP) is a universally conserved ribonucleoprotein involved in the co-translational targeting of proteins to membranes. Archaeal SRP consists of a 7S RNA and homologues of the eukaryotic SRP19 and SRP54 proteins. In most bacteria, the SRP consists of a 4.5S RNA and the Ffh protein (a homologue of the eukaryotic SRP54 protein). The record is from RNAcentral.